GGUAAAGAGAAGUCCUGCUUAUGUGGUAGUCUUCAAGUGAGUCAAGCGGUUUGGUCUUGUGAACAGAUUCAUUUUCCAAAGUAUUCUGAAUUUUCUGAAUCCACUCAAGUUCGCUCUUAUCCCUUUUUACCAGGUAGCAUGGUAACCAACGCCUGUAGCCUGGAUACCCAGAGGCCCUCGAUCUGUCCUGAGGAUUUUGGAACACAGACCAGCUGGGCAUUUUUGUGCAUGCAAGACCUGCCUUCGCAAUGAUCUUAAGAUGUCACUGUAGCGUUUACAUCUUUUAUUUCAAGAUUUAAAUAACUAGGAAGUAGCUCAUGUAAUUCACUGCUGAGAAGAAAGGCGAGCUCCUAGAUUCCUUUCCAAAGCGAUCUCCUCCUAAUGAGCUUCUCUGGACUGUGAGUAAUGAGACUUUAUUCAAAUAAUGUUUAAGGAAGGCUCUGUCAGUGUAAUUUCUAAAAAAGGGACCAAUGUUUAAUACAUUUGAAACAUCUCUAUUCAUACGAUAUUAGCUCAGGCAAGCCCACAGCAGCACUUGCCAAGGAGAAUUCUGUGUUGCUCUUUCAGAGGAGAGAGCCCUCAACUUGGCCUGGGCCAAGCCCCCAGUGCCCCUGCAAAGCAGGGAGCUCGGCCCUCCUUUUUAUCUGGUGUUUUCCAGAGCUAAUGCGUUUAAGGUACUCUGGGUUGAUAUAAACCCUCAGCAUUAAGGAGUUUCAGCAUUCUGCUCCUCUCCCCAUCAAAAUCGCUCUCUGUUCUAUCUUGGGGAUUGUGUCAAUAUAGUUUUCCUGUUUUGUGAGCUCUAUCUGGUUUGCAACAGCAGAAAAACGGAAUGGGAUGGAUUCAAGGCCCUUCACAUUUUUCUUGCAGGGCCUGGGUAUGUGGCGGCGGCUAAAAGAUGC
Molecule: long non-coding RNA, 899 nt
Organism: Pan paniscus (pygmy chimpanzee)
Lineage: Eukaryota; Metazoa; Chordata; Mammalia; Primates; Hominidae
Source: Ensembl